RNAcentral lists this ribosomal RNA (484 nucleotides) under uncultured bacterium. Its description in RNAcentral is "partial 16S ribosomal RNA". It matches the Rfam family "Bacterial small subunit ribosomal RNA", at positions 30 to 507 of the family's 1533-position model. The record is from RNAcentral.
AUUGAACGCUGGCGGCAGGCCUAACACAUGCAAGUCGAGCGGAUGAAGGGAGCUUGCUCCUGGAUUCAGCGGCGGACGGGUGAGUAAUGCCUAGGAAUCUGCCUGGUAGUGGGGGAUGACGUCCGGUAACGGGCGCUAAUACCGCAUACGUCCUGAUGGAGAAAGUGGGGGAUCUUCGGACCUCACGCUAUUAGAUGAGCCUAGGUCGGAUUAGCUAGUUGGUGGGGUAAAGGCCUACCAAGGCGACGAUCCGUAACUGGUCUGAGAGGAUGAUCAGUCACACUGGAACUGAGACACGGUCCAGACUCCUACGGGAGGCAGCAGUGGGGAAUAUUGGACAAUGGGCGAAAGCCUGAUCCAGCCAUGCCGCGUGUGUGAAGAAGGUCUUCGGAUUGUAAAGCACUUUAAGUUGGGAGGAAGGGCAGUAAGUUAAUACCUUGCUGUUUUGACGUUACCAACAGAAUAAGCACCGGCUAACUUCGUG